Cyprinus carpio (common carp) is the source of this 3933-nucleotide long non-coding RNA. RefSeq lists it as uncharacterized. The record is from RefSeq and is a predicted model, not a curated record. Lineage: Eukaryota; Metazoa; Chordata; Actinopteri; Cypriniformes; Cyprinidae. The transcript has 5 exons.
UACAUACAGUAUGAUAAACAUAAACUGCCAGCCCAAAGUUUGGAAAGAGGUUUUUCAUGUUUUUGAAAGCGGUCUCUAACGGGGGCAUUAACACCACACCAUUUUCAACUAAAAACUGAAAACUUUUUUAAUGCGUCUUGGCCGUUCAUUUACAUGACUGUGGUGUUUUGGGGGCCUGAAAACGGAAAUGAAUGAAAAUAGGUUUCAAAGUGCACACUUUUGUAAACAAUGCAGUUGUGUAAACUACAAAAAAUGUGAAUUUGUGAAAAUGGUGAUGUCAUGCACAUGUGUAUUAUGUGUUUAGUCCAAAGCUAUGUGCACAGGCACAUAGUGUUUAGCAUGCAGCAUCUUGGCCAUUUUUGCAAAUCCUUGUUAACGGGAUCGUUUUUGACAAUGUUGUCGUCUAUACGCAAAACUUUUGAAUAAAUAUUGUAAAAUAGUAUUCAUAUAAAAUAACUACUUUCUAUCUUAAUAUAUUUUGAAAGGUAUUUUAUUUCUGUGAUGGCACAGCUGAAUUUUUCAGCAGCCAGUGUCACAUGAUCCUUCAAAAAUCAUUCUAAUAUUUGGUGUUCAGUUAUUAUCACAUAUGGUGUUCAGUUCUGGUUCUUCUUAUAUGCAUAUGUAUGCACCUUUUCUUUCUUUUUUCUUUUUUGUGGAGGAAGCAUACCAUGUUCAUUGUCAAGAUUAAGAAACAUAGUUUUAUCUGUUUUUGAUUUGUUGUAAGAUGUUAAUCCUUUCACAGUUGUUUUCAUUGAAAAGGAUUAACUGCAAUUUUAAAACCUCUGUUUCAUUUGUUAACUUGUGUUGUGUUGGGGUCCACCUGCUAUGCUAAUCCCUCGUAAAAAUGCAUGGUUUAGUACAAGUAGUAGUUGAAAAGAGAGGGAUAAAACCCCUGUGUUAACAGUUUGUAGUCCAUCCUAACAUAUCCAAUACAUGUCAAUAGUAAAACUAGCUUCAGAAAGCCAGGUAUGGUUUUCCAGAUGUUCAAUGUAGUCUGAUCUUUAAAUGUCACCGCAAGACAGCAUUAAUAAGCAGCAUGCUUUAUUUGUUCCAUCAGUGAGGUCAAGCAUUCUGACAGAUCCAAGCUGGAAUGCAAGUGGGUCGGCAACCCCCAGUUCAGGAUCGGAAAUCAUUCCUCUCAUGCCUCAGAGCGGAGUAGUGCUGACGCUGGAACUGAGCAGGCCAGGGGAAUACCCUGUGGGCUUUACCUGUCUCUCUGAGACUACAAACAUUAAUGUUGGCCGUGUGGGUCCAAUAAAAUGUUGCUUACAUACUGAAUCAAAUGUUUAAAACUGAAUCAAGGGCAAAAAUCUGUUUUUCUCCACAGCUGUUCAGAUUAAGUGUCUUUUUAUUAUUAAUUAGCCUUUCUUUCUUCUACAUAUUACUACAUAUUUAUGGCUGAAAAAUAUUUUCUGAGCAGCCUGUGCCACGGCAUCAACAGAGCUCUUUUGUUCUUGAUCAUGAACUUUCAAACCUAAGGACUGUGUGUGACAUUGAACUAGUGAGGACUCAACAAUAUGGCCCAGUAGCCCAGGGCCAGCUUAUGAAACUGUAUGUAGACAUACAGUAUAUACUACAGUUGGUGUGUGUGUGUGUGUGUGUGUGUGUGUGUGUGUGUGUGUGUGUGUGUGAAAAAUAAUGGAAUAGAAAACACUUCUUUCAAAUUGUGAUAAGAUUUCUCAUUGUUACUGCUUUUGAAAUUUUAUUCAAAUAAAUGCAGCUUUGCAGUUAAAAAAAUAUCUUUAUCUAAAAAAAAAAAAAGUGACCAUCCCUAAAAAUUUGAACAGUAAUGUUUACUACUAUUGCCUUAACUUUUGUUAGAUGUUGCUAGAUCAUUUUAGGUUUCAUAAAAUACCCCUCUGUGCUUCUUCAGUCUUGAUUAUCUAGUGUUAUAACAAACCUGAUCUGUGUCUAAUGAGAGCAAUCAAACAUCAGUGGAGACCAAACACUGUUUCCCUGGGGGUCUAGAUAUUUCACAUUGAAUACAGAUCAACCAUUUACAUAUUAUGUUAUGAAUAAAUUAAUGUUUUCAUUCACCAACAGAUGCGAUGUCAGAAACACACAAUCAGAGGCUAAAUUAACAGUCCAGUUAUAACCAUUACAAUAACCAGGGGAGCUCCAAACACAGGACCAAACCAAACACAACAUCCUUUGGUUUGUUACUUGCUAACACAGAUUGGGUUAAAUCACUUUAGUAAGAGAGAAUGUACUCCAUAACAAAAAUAAUUUUUUUUCCCUUCUAUAUGUCAUUUUUUUCAGUAAUACCAGUAUUAUAAUGUUAGUUUGUGUAUAAUAAUGCAUUGUUUAUUGUGAGAAGAUUUGUAUGUUGUUUAUUGAGUACAUUUACAUAUAUCACUCUGUUUAUAUAUGGUACUAUGACAAAGUGAUUUGAAUCAUUUCUGAGCAUGUUAUUUGUUUCUUGGUUUUACAAGGCUGGGUGGGGGUGGGGGAUUGUGGAUAGAAAGCUUUUGUCUUUUCUUUGUUUUUUGAUAACCUUUCUAGAUUGUAACUCAUAAUCCAGAUUGCAGAUUAGCAGCUGUUGAUGCAGUGGUCUGAGUAUUAAUCUCCACAACUGGGUGCUCCUAUCAUCUACCUGGAUGAGGCAAGGGUCAAACCGGUCAGAAAGAGAGAGAUCCAAAACAAGCAAGUCCUACUUAUUUAAUUUGUGGCAGCUUGUGAUAACCAGCUUUAUGGGUGGCUGUCACUAUAGGAGGAUAACUCAGGAUUAUUCUUCUUGGCAACAACAAAAUGGGCAAGCAUCAUGCAAAUAAUCCUCAUGGAAUCCUUGAGGAAGAUGAUUGAGGCCUCUGGAAUAACAUCCCGAGGUCUUCCUGUUUUGUGUAAAGGGUCAGUACACCAUCUGUUUGUGAGAUGAAUGUAUAGAAAUGCACUAUUUUUUUUGUGUAUACUUGCAUAUUUGUGUUUACAAACAGUGGACAGGUGGUACAGUUUUUUUUUAGUGCAGUGGUUAGCAAAUGGUUUAGCUUCAGGUUCCAGAUUUUGCUUUAGAUAUAUGUGAGGGUGACCAUAAAUCCUCUUUUUCCUAGGUGUAUCCUGGCCGGGAUUUCUAAAUGAAAGUGUGUGACCCAAACACUGUACCAAGAUUGUGAAAAGUUCCAAAGAAUAAUGAGGACCUAUAACCAAGUUCUCAGGUGUAAACAACAUGUGCUAGAUCUUUUUCCGUCUCAGUGGAGCAGUAGAGUACACGUUCAGUCACUGCUGCCUGCGCCACUUUUGUAACUCUGCUUAUACAACAUGACUCAGACGGCCGUCAGGUGGUAGAGCACAGAGGUCAUGACAGAACACGCUGAGGGGGUGGAAAGCAAACAUACUUUCAAAGCACCAAUGAUGUUAUAGUGCACUCUUAUAGGCACACCAACAGAACACAUUUUGGAUGCCCCCCUCAUCUGAGCCAUCCAUUUCAGGUCUUGGAAUCUCUGCUAAUGAGCUGAUGAGUUGAUUCAGUGACAGCAUGGUGAGUCAGCUCCCCUGAAGAGCGCUGGACUUUCCUAGCAUUGCUGUGAUACCCGAGUGCUUUGCAGAAACAGGCAGCACUUCCCAUCAAGCAGCGAUCAGUCAUUUACCCUCACCUGCAGCUCACUGUUCACACACAGGGGCAAAUUUUCUCUGUCCCUGCCUCGCUGUGCCUCACGCCUCUUUCUCAAUUCACCUCGUGCCACGCUGAGCAGUCCGAACAGUGGACGGAGAGGUGCGUGUGUUAUCAGCCCACUGAGAGAUAAUGCCACACAGGGUCUCAUUGUCUUUCACGUGCACUUGUGAGCGGGGAGAUGUGGAAAGAAGGCUGACCUGCACAUUUAGAGCUAAAUAUUCAGGAAUGACACCAUCCAAGGGUUCAUGAUGACAGAAAAGAUGAUGAGUCUCCCAUAAUGAACAGGUUACAUGAGGUUACAUAAAUAGAACAGGUUACAGGUU